Molecule: ribosomal RNA, 440 nt
Filed under: uncultured bacterium
Lineage: Bacteria
Description: partial 16S ribosomal RNA
Rfam family: Bacterial small subunit ribosomal RNA
Source: RNAcentral
CCUACGGGAGGCAGCAGUAGGGAAUAUUGCUCAAUGGGGGAAACCCUGAAGCAGCAACGCCGCGUGAAGGAUGCAGGUUUUCGGAUUUUAAACUCCUUCUGUUAGAGAAGAUAAUGACGGUAUCUAACGAAUAAGCACCGGCUAACUCAGUGCCAGCAGCCGCGGUAAUACGGAGGGUGCAAGCGUUACCCGGAAUCACGGGGCGUAAAGAGCGCGUAGGCGGGAUAGCAAGUCAGAUGUGAAAUGCUAUGGCUUAACCAUAGAACUGCAUUUGAAACUGGUAUUCUAGAGUAUGGGAGAGGUAGGUGGAAUUCUUGGUGUAGGGGUAAAAUCCGUAGAGAUCAAGAGGAAUACUCAUUGCGAAGGCGACCUGCUAGAACAUAACUGACGCUGAUGCGCGAAAGCGUGGGGAGCAAACGGGAUUAGAUACCCGUGUAGUC